AUACGUAGGGAGCGAGCGUUGUCCGGAAUGACUGGGUGUAAAGGGAGCGUAGGCGGGAUGGCAAGUCAGAUGUGAAAACUGAGGGCUCAACCUUCAGACUGCAUUUGAAACUGCUGUUCUUGAGUGAGGUAGAGGUAAGCGGAAUUCCUGGUGUAGCGGUGAAAUGCGUAGAGAUCAGGAGGAACAUCGGUGGCGAAGGCGGCUUACUGGGCCUUUACUGACGCUGAGGCUCGAAAGCGUGGGGAGC
This 247-nucleotide ribosomal RNA is filed under the name uncultured bacterium. RNAcentral describes it as "partial 16S ribosomal RNA". It matches the Rfam family "Bacterial small subunit ribosomal RNA", at positions 523 to 769 of the family's 1533-position model. The record is from RNAcentral.